AUUGAACGCUGGCGGAAUGCUUUACACAUGCAAGUCGAACGGCAGCACGGGAGCUUGCUCCUGGUGGCGAGUGGCGAACGGGUGAGUAACAUAUCGGAACGUACCCAGUCGUGGGGGAUAACUAUCCGAAAGGAUAGCUAAUACCGCAUACGUCCUGAGGGAGAAAGCGGGGGAUCGCAAGACCUCGCGCGAUUGGAGCGGCCGAUAUCGGAUUAGCUAGUUGGUGGGGUAAAGGCUCACCAAGGCGACGAUCCGUAGCGGGUCUGAGAGGACGACCCGCCACACUAGAACUUAGACACGGUCCAGACUCCUACGGGAGGCAGCAGUGGGGAAUUUUGGACAAUGGGGGCAACCCUGAUCCAGCCAUUCCGCGUGAGUGAAGAAGGCCUUCGGGUUGUAAAGCUCUUUCAGCAGGAACGAAACGGUCGGCUUUAAUAAAGUCGGCUAAUGACGGUACCUGCAGAAGAAGCACCGGCUAACUACGUG
RNAcentral lists this ribosomal RNA (486 nucleotides) under uncultured bacterium. RNAcentral's name for it is "partial 16S ribosomal RNA". It matches the Rfam family "Bacterial small subunit ribosomal RNA", at positions 30 to 507 of the family's 1533-position model. The record is from RNAcentral.